Molecule: ribosomal RNA, 398 nt
Filed under: uncultured bacterium
Lineage: Bacteria
Description: partial 16S ribosomal RNA
Rfam family: Bacterial small subunit ribosomal RNA
Source: RNAcentral
AUACGUAGGGUGCGAGCGUUGUCCGGAAUUACUGGGCGUAAAGCGCUCGUAGGUGGUUUGUCGCGUCGUCUGUGAAAUUCCGGGGCUUCACUCCGGGCGUGCAGGCGAUACGGGCAUACCUUGGGUCCUGUGGGGGAGACUGGAAUUCCUGGGGUAGGGGUGAAAUGCGCAGAUAUCAGGAGGAACACCGGUGGCGAAGGCGGGUCUCUGGGCAGUAACUGACGCUGAGGAGCGAAAGCAUGGGUAGCGAACAGGAUUAGAUACCCUGGUAGUCCAUGCCGUAAACGGUGGGCGCUAGGUGUAGGAGGCUUCCACGCCUUCUGUGCCGCAGCUAACGCAUUAAGCGCCCCGCCUGGGGAGUACGGCCGCAAGGCUAAAACUCAAAGGAAUUGACGGGG